This 1256-nucleotide long non-coding RNA is filed under the name Lotus japonicus. Its description in RNAcentral is "long non-coding RNA (LJAP_LNC000501)". Lineage: Eukaryota; Viridiplantae; Streptophyta; Magnoliopsida; Fabales; Fabaceae. The record is from RNAcentral.
GUAUUCCUCCUUAUUCCUUGCUCCUGAUUAUCAUGUGGGAAAAAACGUCCAAUACUAGCAGGAAUAUAUACCGUGAAAGAGGGUCGCCUUGGAGAAGUCCUCUUUGUGGCUUGAUCUUCUCUCCGCAAACUCCAUUGAUCUUGUAACGGUAAGUAACCCCCAUGACCAGCGCCAUGACUAUUUUAACCUAGUUCGAAUGAAAACCAUAUGCUAACAAUCCUUUUUCCAGGAACUUCCACUCUACUUGAUCGAAGGCUUUAUUCAUGUCAAGCUUGACACUCAAAUGAUCUCUGCCUAUUCUGCAUCUCUUCUUCAGUGCGUUAAAUGCCUCUUGCACUAUAAUAAGAUUGUCCUGAAUUUGUCUCCCCCUAUUAAAAGCAUUCUUCUGGGGGGUGAUGAUAGAAUUCAUUGCUGGUUUCAGUCUUGUUACCAAGAUCCUGGAGAUGAUUUUACAAACAAAGUUACAGCAGCUGAUGGGUCGAAAGUUGGAGAUAGAUUCUGGAUUUUGGGUUUUUGGAGCCAAGGUAACUAGUGCCUCAUUUAUAUCUUCUGGUAGAUUCCAUGUGUCAAAGAAAGAAAUUACUGCCUUACUCACUUCUUCUCCUACUGUGUCCCAUUGUUUUUGGUAGAAUAGACUGUUCAAUAUGUCCGGUCCAGGAGCUUUCAUGCUUCCCAGGCAGAAGGCAGCCUCCUUGACUUCAUUUUCCGUUACAGGCUCUAAGAGUUCCCUGUUCAGACUUUCAUAGAUGACUCUUGGAACUGCGUUGAGGCAUUCAGUGAUAUUCUGGCGGUUCGUGCUUUUGUAAAUAUCUGGAUAGAAGUCUGGCACAUCUCGAUUUAUAGCUAAUUGGCUUCUAACCCAGGUACCUUGCAUAUCCUUGAUCCUCUCAAUUCGAUUUCUUUCUCUACGUUGGACAGUGGAAGCAUGAAAGAACUUUGUGUUCUUGUCCCCGCUUUUCAACCAUUUGAUUCUUGAUCUUUGGCUCCAGAAUAGUUCCUCUUGCCUCCAAAGAUCUUUUAGUCUCAUUUUCCUUUGCUUAAUUUCCUGCCAGUCCUCCCCAGAAUUGCUGUAAUUUUGUAGGUGUUCCAACUGAUUCUUGAGCUCAGCUAUUUCCUUAUCAGCUCUAGAGAAGUUCUGGUGAUGCCAUUCAGUGAGCGCCAGUUUUGUGUUUGUUGUUUUCCCAGAUAAGUUGCUACAAUGACUACUAGCAGUUUCACUAGUAUUAUCCCAAGCUUUCUUUAUGGUUUCUUUACAU